ACGAACGCUGGCGGCGUGCUUAACCCAUGCAAGUCGCACGGAAAGGCCCUGCUUUUGUGGGGUGCUCGAGCGGCGAACGGGUGAGUAACACGUGAGUAACCUGCCCUUGACUUUGGGAUAACUUCAGGAAACUGGGGCUAAUACCGGAUAGGAGCUCCUGCUGCAUGGUGGGGGUUGGAAAGUUUCGGCGGUUGGGGAUGGACUCGCGGCUUAUCAGCUUGUUGGUGGGGUAGUGGCUUACCAAGGCUUUGACGGGUAGCCGGCCUGAGAGGGUGACCGGCCACAUUGGGACUGAGAUACGGCCCAGACUCCUACGGGAGGCAGCAGUGGGGAAUAUUGCACAAUGGGCGGAAGCCUGAUGCAGCAACGCCGCGUGCGGGAUGACGGCCUUCGGGUUGUAAACCGCUUUCGCCUGUGACGAAGCGUGAGUGACGGUAAUGGGUAAAGAAGCACCGGCUAACUACGUG
This 467-nucleotide ribosomal RNA is filed under the name uncultured bacterium. RNAcentral describes it as "partial 16S ribosomal RNA". It matches the Rfam family "Bacterial small subunit ribosomal RNA", at positions 29 to 507 of the family's 1533-position model. The record is from RNAcentral.